This is a long non-coding RNA of Vitis vinifera (wine grape), 3718 nucleotides long. RefSeq lists it as uncharacterized. The record is from RefSeq and is a predicted model, not a curated record. The transcript has 6 exons. Lineage: Eukaryota; Viridiplantae; Streptophyta; Magnoliopsida; Vitales; Vitaceae.
CUUAUUUUUGAUAUAUUACCAUGAUUUAUCGUGUCGAAACCUUUCUAUACACAGGUAAAUCGGCAAAAUUUCGAAUAUGGCCACAUUUUCGUCCCUGCUGCAACCAACGACUAAGAUUCCGGGACGUGGCGGCGCCACCCCUUCACCAGCACCGAAAAGAACUUAAAUUACCUGAACACCCUUCACAAAGUCACAAAUGCAAAACCUAAUUUGGGCGAGUAACCCACUCGAGUCGCCCUUUUUGGGUCAUCCUUGCUCGAAACUCGUCAUUCAGUCUACCAGGAGGCUUACCAGAAGAAGAAGAAAGGGAGGAGAGAGAGGGAGAGAGUGGGCGGUCAGGGCAAUGCCUUGUUCUUCUAAAAAUACGUCGUCUUCUUCUAGAGAUGACAAUGGUGCCCUUCGUGCUUUCAAGCUGAGUGAGUCCACGUUUUUGGCUUCUCUUAUUCCUAAGAAGGGGAUUGCUGCUGAUCGAUUCGUCGAGGCGCAUUCUAAGUACGAUGCCCGUGAGGUUGUUGUCGCUAUUUUUGGUAAUUUGAAAUUUUCUAUGGGGGGUUUUGGGUCUGUUUGGGUGAUGAGAAAGUGAUGGGAAAUGGGAAAAAAUUUCUGGGUUUAUUUAUUGGUUUAUGAGAAGUGGGCGAAGGACACUAAGUGGGAUAUGGGUGUUAGUCGUUUUUUCUUUUUGGGGGUCUGUUUCUGUUUGGGUCCUGAGAAAGUGGUGGAAAAUGAAAGAUAACUGUUUUUUUAUUUUUUUUGUUGGAGUUUUAUGUUGUUUUGGUUAAGAUAUCAGACGUGAACCUUCAGCUUUUUCCAUGGUGUCUUGAAAGUGUUGUUCAUGCUAAAACUUAGGAGUCGAAUGUGGGAAAUGCUUAUCUCUUGAGCUGUGCUGGGUUGUAUUUCUGAUCUUAGAGUGUUGUUUUUACCCAGAUUCUGGUGUGUUACAAGUUACCUCAGGUGGGAAACCGAAGAUCUUUGAUGUUCUUGAUUCGUAUUAUAAAACUACUUGUUUGUCACGGUACUCUUACAGCAAUAUUUACAGAGUACUUUUUCUUUUUUCAGCCUUGGCAGUGGAGAUAUUGAUACCUCAACUGUGGUGAAGGCCGAUUCAAACGGUUGUCUUGGUGGAGCAUCAGGGGCAUCUCUGGUUGUAAAUUCUUCAUGGAAGAACCCUUCUGGGGAGUGGCAUGUGGGUUAUAAAGUCGUAUACGAGCUUUGUACAGACACAUUGACUUCUGGUUUGAAGAAAGAAGGAAAAAGUGGAACAAAAAGCAUAGGAAGCAAUAGCUGAGGCUGUAAAGCAUCUUGAUGAAUUUGACCAGGUUUUGGAUAAUUCUGUUGCUUAAUUUCUUACAUGUUGCAUUUUUUUCCAAAUCACCUAUUCCGUAUUGCACUUAACUUCUGUUGUUAAUUAGUCAGUAACUCUGCAUAAUAGACCUGCAAAUUAUUGACUUUAAAAACAUCAUUCAAUUCUUGAUGCACUAUUAUUGUUUUCACUCCCCCUUAUUGUAAGUUGAUGUUUUUUGAUACUUUAUUGAUGUCCGGGCAUUUUACUUUUUGUCUCUUUGUAUUCAUGUUCAUCUGGAGAAAUUCAGUAUGCUAACUGCAUAAAAUGGUAAAAGAUUUUGGAUAAGGUCAAAAGUUUCCAUCUGUUAAUAAAAGUUUAUAAAUAGUUCAUUUACAAGCUCAAGCGGUCCUCAGGGCAUCUAUGUAAUAUAUUGCUGACACGUUCUUGUUUCAGUAUUACACUUGCAUUUCCUGCAUCAUGCCCAUCACCAGCUAUUAUAUGAUUUGUUGUAAAUUGCCUGGUCCAGAAACACAUUAAGAAGGGCUUGUGAAGACCUCCAAAACAGGGUUGACUUACUCCAGAAAUAGAGCUAUGAUGACAAGGGACCUAUUAUAGAUGCUGUUGUUUGGAAUGGAGAACCAUGGAGGGCCACACUUGAUAGGCAGAGUCUUGAGGAUGACCCAGGGUGUUGGAAAUUUGCUGAUUUUGUAACCGUAACUAAUUAUAGGUAUGUUUGAUCCACCAGUAACAAAAUUGUGUGCUGGAGUAUCUUUUAUAUUUUUCUUAUAGUUUUCAAUGGUAAUAAUAUGUGUUUGAAAGAAGCUGAAACAUCCUUUCUAUAUAGGAGUUCUAAUUUUGAUGCAGUUUUUCUGGCUUAAGGUGGAUUACUGUUGUAUGAAUUAUGAAAACUGUUGUUGAGUUACUUCCAAUGAAGCAUCUGAAUUUGCUCCCUCUGAUUUAUUUUGGGGAAAAGAAAGGGGCUUGACUGUGCUUUUUGGGCUUACAUAAAAUCAAUUGGCAGCAUUUGAAAGCUCAACUUGAUUUUGAUAUUGCAUGGUGUUUUGAAGAUUCUGUUCAUUGUUAGUCCAGCCCCAGAUCCUGGAGAUGGAACUUGCACUUGGAAACAACCUUUUAUGUUGCUUGCGAUAGGCAUUUCACUUGUCUAAGGCAUGACUUGCCUUCUAAAUUCGCAUAAGCUCCUAAGGUAAACAGCUUAGGAAAGGCCUUGUCUGAACAAUAGUCAUGCAGAGAGAUGUGAAGCUCAAACACAAAUAUGCCCAGAAACGAGAAUUUAUGUUGAUGUUUCAAAUCUUUGUUCUGGCUACUUUUCUCAAUCCUCUGAUUUUAAGAAUGUAUUCUGAUUACCACUGACUUGUUGUUAUUAUUAUUAUUAUUCCUUUUUUCUUCCAUCAUAUCUUAUUCUUCUUUUCUUUUAUCUCACAUCUAGGCUAGAGUUGGAGAUGAAGAAGGUGUUUUUGUCUCCAACGACUUUAAUGUUAUGUACGCUGACUUUUCAGAAUUGAAAGAAAGUUUGGCAUGUUUAGCAAACCCGAUGCUUGCACAUGUGUCGUUAAUGUAUAUGAUCAAGGCAGUAUCUUGAGUAUAGUGACAGAUAGCUUCCCCAAUUACCAUUUGAAAAUAACAUGCUGUCUUCCUGCAUUUCCUUUACAGUAAACAAAAUAUGCCAUUGUUGUGCAAGAGCCAAUGUUGAAUGAAGUUGGCACCUGGAGCACAGAUCUUGUAAAAUUGGAGACACAUGCCUAGGUUCAACAGAAACAGGAACAGGCUUGACCAGAUCAUUAAUAGCUGCUGUCAAGCAUAAGUGUGAUCUCGUCAACAUGAGUUAUGGAGAACCUACAAUGAUGCUUGAAUAUGGAUGAUUUGUUGACCUUGUUAAUGAACAUUGACCGCUGUGGGCUCACCUGGUGGUACCACUUCACUUAUUGUUGGUGUCGGUGCGUAUGUACUUUCUCCUGCUAUGGCUGCUGGAGCUCAUUGUGUAGUUGAACCUCCAUCUGAAGGCCUCGAGUAUUCAUGGUAUACAAUCUUCCCUGAAGAAAGUUUUUGUGUUUCAGCAAGUUGCUGGCAGUAAAUUAUUCAUUUGAAUCUUAAAGCAUAGCUGAACGAAAUGGGGUGCAGGUCUAGCCAUGAACCAACAGUUGAUGGUGAUCUUUGGGUGUGCAUAAGCCCUCCACGAAAAUUUGAUUUUGCAAGUGCAUUAUGUGUUACCAUAUGAUAUCUUUGUGCUUAUGAAAGUAAUAUUUAGAUGUGAAUGCCAUUUAGAAGCUGCACUUAGCAUACUGAUUAUGUAGUUAUGCAGAUGGUCCUCAUUGUUUGAGGAAACAGGUUUUUCUUGUUGCUUAUUAGUAUUGAGCCCCAUAAAGACUAAAGAGAAAAGUUCAUGAGAAUAAAAUAAUUUAUAUGUUGGCAUGAGUA